AGAAAAUCAAAAGCUUUAACACCUUUAAUAUUGGAACAAAAUUAAAAAGAAAAAGUAAUCAAAAUUUUCAACUUUAUAAUAUUUUAACCUAAAUUUCCCCGAAGAUUAUGCAUCACAAACAAUGAAACGUGUCGCAGCAUUACAGCUGGACACCAUUACAUGCUCUUCGCUCUUCACGCGCACCCAUUUUACAUUCUAUGUUUCACACAAUUAACUUUCAAUGUUUCCCAUUCAAUUUCUUCACCAUUGUUGCUUUCUACAUUUUUUCAAAAAAAUAAAUUAGGAUGAUUUGAUUUCAUAGGCCGUGUAAAUUCAUUCAUACAUCUAAUUAUAAUGUGAAGCCACCACUGGUCUACAUUUACAUAUGUUAGGAGGUUAAUAUUUCUAUGGUUAAUCUUUGAUUAUCUUAGGGUAUACAAUUGUCCUGCUUUUUUCUGUUUGCAGUCCUUAGAAGCAAAUAUUAUAUACUCCAUUAAUGAGAUUGAAAAGGGAGGGCAAGAAGAAUUAAAGUAUUGAAGCACUAGCCUAAAGAAAGAAUCAAUUACAGUGCAUUUGAAAUAGUAGCACCACCCAUCCACUACAUGAUUAAUAUUAAUUACUUAGAUUUACUAGUUAGUUUAAAAGGGAUUAAUACCCCAUACUUUCCCCACUUGAGUUAACCUACAUCUUAACUGCAAUAAUGACAGAAUUUGUCAGUUUACCUUGGAAUGCUCAAGGGUCCAUUCUAACAAAUGUUGCAGAAUGGCCUUGUCUGUCUUUCAACACCCCAAAAGAAAUAAAGAAAUACCAAAAAUUCAGAACUCCAAUGCACAAAUAUUAAUUUUGAAACAUAAAAUAAUAGUAAAAAAAUCAUAAAUAAGACUCAUUUCAUGUUAAUUUAGAACAAAUUAAAUUAAUGGGAAGUGGGCUUCUUGUCUAAUGGUCUGAAUGCUGUUGGUGAAGAAGCCAAUGGGAGUACCUGAGAAGAGCUUGAAGGAUAUUGAGGAAGAUGAUUAAGAAUAUCUCUUUCCUUGUUGUUUUUACUAACAAUGAAGCCCAGGAAAGAACCCUUUGUCUCCUCUGUUAUCAUUGUUGAAUUAGGAGGUUUAAUCCCAGAAUCUUGAACAGAGGCACAGUUUUUAGCUGCCCUUUUCUCAGCUUCUUCCAUUAAUUUUCUGAACAAUUUCUCCUCUGCUUCUCUCAAGAACUUGAAUUUUGGCGGUGGUGAUGAUCUCAGCCUGUUAAUCUCUGCAUCCGUUGAUGAUUCAAAGAGAGGAUUGAAUCCAUGUUGAUUAUAAGAAUCCAAAGGAGGAGACUUUAAACGUGGAGAAGCUAAAGGGGUAAGGAAUGGAGUGUCAACAGCCACUAUAAGAUCACUCAAACUUCUUGUUCUUGACCUCCUAUCGCCCCUAGAUUUCCCAUCUUCAGACUCCAAAUCCUCCUUUGUUUCCUCGUUGAUUGUGAAGAGAAAUCUUGGUGGGCCUGCGAGAUUGUGUAGCCUCAUGAGCUCUGAUUCUACACUUUCUUCACCAAAAGCUUUUAGAAGCAAAUCCUUGCUUGUGCCUAAUUCUAAGUCUGGUUCUUGGCCAUGUGCUUCUGGGUCUCUCACUCUGUCUUGAAUGGUGUUGUUAACUUGCAAAGAGGAGGGUUUCUUCCAGCAGAUUAGGUCAAAGAAUUCCUUUGCAUACUUGCUGCUAUAAUCCUCAUCUUCAACUUCUCCGUUGGUGACUCUCUUCUUCCACCAUAGCAAAUAGUAGAGCUCUGCAACAAGUGCCAAAAGAAGGCAACCAAAGACUAAACUCAAACCUAUUCCUAAACCACUGACAGAUGCCAUCCGUGGCAGAAAUUUCACAUACCCAGAACAACUAAUCUAGGCUUCAAUUGUAUAAAAUAUCCCCAAAAAAAGAGACCCUUUUUAUCAGUGAAUUUCACCGAGAACAAAAACCCAUCAGUCAAGCAUUGAUUCUGCAAGCAAAUACAAAGCCCCCCCCAAAAAAAAAACAACAAGGGAGAAGUCCUACAGCAACUAACCCAAUUAAGGAAACAAAAUCCUCCACUAAGGUAAAUCUUACUUUCUCAAACCACAAGCUCAGGCAUAUAUAAUGAGAAAGCAAGACCAAGAGCCAUAGAUAUGUUGCCUAAAACACAAGUUAAAAGCUAGGAAUCUAGUAAGAUUUCUGGGAAACCAGUGCAGAGGAAAACUUGCCCAAAAAGUGAAAAGAGAAACAAAUAUUAAAGCAAACCCAACCAACAGAAAAACAUUAGAGACCCGAGAGAGAGAGAGAGAGAG
Molecule: unclassified non-coding RNA, 2269 nt
Filed under: Hevea brasiliensis (rubber tree)
Lineage: Eukaryota; Viridiplantae; Streptophyta; Magnoliopsida; Malpighiales; Euphorbiaceae
Source: RNAcentral